AGGGUGAUAUCCAAAAUUAGUCAUACUCAGAGUAAACCCACUGAAAUCAAUGGACUUAAGUUUAUUGAUUUCAGUGCAUCCACCCUGAGUGUGACUAAUGUUGGAUACCACCCA
Non-coding RNA from Podarcis lilfordi (Lilford's wall lizard), 114 nucleotides. The record is from the annotation of a GenBank genome assembly. Lineage: Eukaryota; Metazoa; Chordata; Lepidosauria; Squamata; Lacertidae.